Long non-coding RNA from Xiphophorus couchianus (Monterrey platyfish), 591 nucleotides. RefSeq lists it as uncharacterized. The record is from RefSeq and is a predicted model, not a curated record. The transcript is spliced from 5 exons. Lineage: Eukaryota; Metazoa; Chordata; Actinopteri; Cyprinodontiformes; Poeciliidae.
GUAUAAAAAAGUAGUAUUUCAGAAGAGCAGAAGAAAUCUUGUCUUUUGAACAAUAACAACAUUUGUUAUUAAUCUGUUGCUAAAAUGAGAGAUGAGCUUGUUUUCCUAAUGAAGUGCCACAAAGUAAACGUCUGAUUUUUACUUUUGCAAAAUCUACCAACUAUCAAGGUGUAUAGUCACCUAGCAAUCAGACUUCCUCUUGGGUCUGCUUGUGUGACUACAAUAGAUAGCAGCAUCUCCAGCAGAUCUGAAUCAGUAGUUGUGUCCAUGUCGCUCUACCAAAUGGAUCGGCACUAACAAAACCCCCAAGGCCACAGGGUGGAGUACAUCCUGGACAGAUUGCCAGGCCAACGGUUUGCAACUAAUACAACAAAGUAGUUACAAGCUGUGGACUGCAGCCACCCCACACAGAUGUAACCAAGCUCUAACUUCUGCCAUGAACAGAGGGAGAAAAAGAAGCAGAGACCAGGCUUCUCCAUGGGCCGCCCCCUUCCAAAAUGGAUUCUGCUUUGUACCAACUCAUCACCUUGAUCUGACUGCCCCGGUUGAAAUUCGACUGGAGGAAUCCAACUGAAUGGAAGAAACUUGCCA